CCUACGGGAGGCAGCAGUGGGGGAUAUUGCACAAUGGGGGCAACCCUGAUGCAGCGACGCCGCGUGAGCGAUGGAGUACUUCGGUGUGGAAAGCUCUGUCAGCAGGGGAGAGAAUGACGGUACCUGACCAAGAAGCCCCGGCUAAAUACGUUCCAGCAGCGGCGGUAAUACGUAUGGGGCCAGCGUUAUCCGGAUUUACUGGGUGUUAAGGGGGCGUAGGCGGCAGGGCAAGCCUGAUGUGAAAGCCCGGGGCUCAACCCCGGGACUGCAUUGGGAACUGCCCCGCUCGAGUGCCGGAGGGGCAGGCGGAAUUCCGAGGGGAGCGGUGAAAUGCGUAGAUAUUAGGAGGAACACCAGUGGCGAAGGCGGCCUGCUGGACGGUGUACUGACGCUGAGGCUCGAAAGCGUGGGGAGCAAACAGGAUUAGAUACCCGAGUAGUC
Molecule: ribosomal RNA, 441 nt
Filed under: uncultured bacterium
Lineage: Bacteria
Description: partial 16S ribosomal RNA
Rfam family: Bacterial small subunit ribosomal RNA
Source: RNAcentral